RNAcentral lists this ribosomal RNA (228 nucleotides) under uncultured bacterium. Its description in RNAcentral is "partial 16S ribosomal RNA". It matches the Rfam family "Bacterial small subunit ribosomal RNA", at positions 118 to 350 of the family's 1533-position model. The record is from RNAcentral.
UGGGUAACCUGCCCUCAGCUCUGGGAUAACUCCGGGAAACCGGGCUAAUACCGGAUAGGACGGAUCUCGGCAUCGGGGUCUGUGGAAAGUUUUCGGCUGAGGAUGGGCCCGCGGCCUAUCAGCUUGUUGGUGGGGUGAUGGCCUACCAAGGCGACGACGGGUAGCCGGCCUGAGAGGGCGACCGGCCACACUGGGACUGAGACACGGCCCAGACUCCUACGGGAGGCA